This 20-nucleotide non-coding RNA is filed under the name Mus musculus (house mouse). The record is from RNAcentral. Lineage: Eukaryota; Metazoa; Chordata; Mammalia; Rodentia; Muridae. RNAcentral also lists the same sequence under 1 other name.
CUCCCACAUGCAGGGUUUGC